AUAAGUUCCCAGGCUAGGGGUCCAAUUGGAGCCACAUCUGCAGCCUACACCUCAGCUCACGGCAAUGCUGGAUCCUUAACCAUCGAACCCAUGUCCUCGUGGAUCCUAGUUGGGUUCGUUACCACGGAACCACGACUGGAAGGAACCCUUUGAAAGUUAUUUCUAUUGGAGGGAUUUGAUCACAGACUUUGCUUUGGGCUUCGGAUGCUGGGUGAGCAUAGAGAACACGGAGUUUGGUCGAGUUCACGGGAAGGGCCAGUUUCUCUUCCAGAACGAAGUCUUCUUUGGCUUGAGAAGAGUCGUUUGCUCACGUGUGGCCCUGCCCAGGCACCCCCACGCGAUGGCACGUCUUCCCUCUUUCCUAAAAGGUUACAUAAUUCUGCAGAUCAGCAUCGUGGGCUUUUGUCCCCGGACAGCCCUUUCUGGCACUGCUAGAUUUCCAGAUGAGAACUGUUUAUUCUGGAUCAGACUUCAUCUGGUCAGCUGAAGUCUCCGGAGUAUGGCGAGUUUUCCUUACCCUUGGCCUACUUUUCGUGGUACUAAAGGUCCUUCUACAGUUUCGCCAAGCACUUUAUAAGACAGUAAUAGUUGAAAGCACGGCUUUCUUUUGCUCUCUCAGUUCCUGUGGCUGUUUCAGGGCGUCACAUGGUGUUGUCUUGAUAAGGGACACCCACAGAGGCAGGAGAGGAAGGUUUUGUUCACGUCAUAAGAUAAAUCAAGGGCCUACCACGUGCCAGCCUCCCUGUCCUCAGGGUUCAUUACCAAACCAGAGAGUUACCCCCUCGCAGGAAGGAUGGUGAUGGAAAUGAGUUCAGAGCCCAAUGGGGGAGAAGAGGCCCUUAGUCCCAGGAGUCCCACGCAGUGUGCUCUCUCCCAAGCCAGUCCAUGGCUCAGAAGCAGAAAAUGACCGGAGGGUUUUGAACCCAUAAAUCAACUCACUUUUCCAUCUUAUCACACACAGCUACGGGGGCAAACCUGAGAGAAGACACAGGAAGGAGGAAGAGGCAGCACAGGGAAGCAAGCCGGCCUCCCCCCUCCUGCGUCCCUAUGCUGCAUUUUCCUCUUUUCCACGUCACCCGGUCUCCACAGUGAUGGUUCUCGUCGCUGUCAUAUGUGACAGUGAGCAUCGUACUUGUUAAUAUGACCCUGAAAACAUGGUAAUUCAAUCCUUCUCUGUCGGUUGUUCGUUAUAAUGAAAAACACCGUGAAAAAGAACUCCCCAUACAUGGAUUUUUUUUUUCUUUCUUUUGGAUGAUUUUCUUGAUGGUAACUCUUAGGAGUGGAAAGCCCAUCAGGCUUCAUCAGGCUUGGGGGGGAUUAGGUCCAUUUAUGUUGAGUUAGAUGCUCUCCUGAUGAAGGUACAGGCUCAUGACAAUAUUCAUGCCUGUGUUUUGACCGUGCUGCCUUUUUUUUUCUUUUUCUUUUUGGUCUUUUUGCCUUUUCUAGGGCCGCUCCCGCAGCAUUUGGAGGUUCCCAGGCUAGUGGUCUAAUCGGAGCUGUAGCCACUGGCCUACGCCAGAGCCACAGCAACACAGAAUCCGAGCCGCGUCUGUAAACUACACCACAGCUCAUGGCAACGCCGGAUCCUUAACCCACUGAGCAAGGCCAGGGAUCGAACCCGAAACUUCAUGGUUUCUUGUGGGAUUUCCACUGCGCCACGACGGGAAGUCCCAAGAUGCUCUUUUAAGAAGCCUGGUCAAGGAGUUCCCAUCAUGGCUCAGCAGUUAAGGAACCCGACUAGCAUCCAUGAGGUUGAGGGUUUGAUCCUUGGCAUGGCUGUGGCUGUGGUGUAGGCUGGUGGCUACAGCUCUGAUUGGACGCUUAGCCUGGGAACCUCCAUAUGCUGUGGGUGCAGCCCUAAAAGGACAAAAAAUAAAAUAAAAUAAAAUAAAAUAAAAUAAAAUAAAAUAAAAUAAACUUAACAUUCAAACACACUCAAAAAAAAAAAAAAAAGGAAUUCCACUGGAAUGUGGGAACCCCACACAGAGCAGGAAGUGUGGUAUUGUGGGGACCUGAGCAAGGAGGGAAUAAAGGUCACGUGCAGAUGGAGGAGGGGUCCUCUUAGGUCUGAGCAGCCUCACGGCUUCUUUAUCCAGAAGUUUGUUGGAGCAGUCUCCCCUCUAAGAGAAGAUUUGAAAACCACCAAUGCACCUCCUUGAUUCAGAACAGAGGCCCAGAGACGGCUUUAACUCGCAGAAGGUGGCUCAGCACUCCAGGACUGCAUUCUGCCUUCAGGCUUCGGGGUUCUCUGCACAGAAAUCCUCUCCUAGGAAAGGAGGGAAACCGAGGAAGCCACUGGGAGCCUGAGGGAGGAGCCCUGAGGAGCCCCCGUGCCUCCCCGGCAUCUCCUCGCUCCUUCCUGUCUCCCCGCAGCUGAGAGGGAUGAGAAACUGGGUGGCAGCGUGUUCAUUUUAUGGUUAUUCUGCGUACCUGACACAUUGGAUAACAAUUCCUUUGAUCUUUUCAGUUGUUAAUUUAUAAAGAAUUAAAAAUGGUAGGAGUUCCUAUUGUGGUCCAACAGGAUCAGUGGUGUCUCUGGAGCGCUGGGAUGCAGGGUCGAUCCCCAGCCUUGGCACAGAGGGUUGAGGAGCUGGCGUUGCUACAGGGUAGGUCAUAAUUGUGCCUGGAUCGGAUCCCUGGCCUGGGAACGUUAUAUGCCGUGGGGCAGCAAAAAAAAAGGUAAAAGCAAGCAUGUCUUCAAAGCUAACUGAGGGGCAGACCGAUCGAGGGUGAGCGCGCAUAGAAACGUCGCACUUUCCUUUUAUACCCAAUUCUGCUGUUCGUUUCUGUCAGCCCCUCCCCAGACCUGGAGAGUCCACACCGCUUACUUUAUCCUCCUUUGAUCAGCCCACGGAUUGUGACCCUUCCCCUUCCAGUUACAUAAACCUUCUUCCUUGUCCCCAAGUCACAAAACAGAAAACCGCCCGUCUGUGCAUGCAUCCUGUUUACUGAGUAGUUGCAAUGUCCCAGGCACUGUUCUAGUCUCUGGCCACACAGCGGGGAAUACAUCAGAAAGAAAUCCCUCCUCACGUUCCAUGGCGGAAGGUGGACACUGAGGCAUGUGGAAAUCCCGGGGCCCAAGAAUGGAACCUGUGCUUCUGCAGUGAUCUGAGCCGUCUUAGUAGCAAUGACAGGUCCCACUGCACCACAAGACAACUCCUGAAAUAGUUGAUUUUAAUCAAUACUAUGCUUGAAAGUGGAUAAAGCAACUUUAGUCCCGCAAGAAAACAACUUGAUGUUUCUUCUCAAAAUGAUUUGUUCUGUGAAGCUGCUAUAAAGCAUGCACUUGCCAACACUUCCCAGCUUACUCGGAGCAAAGAUUUCAUACUCGUACUGCUGGAGAGACAGCCACGUCCUCCAACAUAAGAUAACCCCUUACAGCUACUUCUUUUCCUUCCUAUUCCUGCCACUAGGGGUUCUCCCCCUCCUCACUCUCCUUUUCCUUAAUCCUUGUGUUCUCAGCAAGAGCCAUCUCCCGUGGCUUGUAUACUUCUCAGGUUCCUCUGGCUUAAGCAUCCCCAGGGACUGUUCCCUCCCCUCUUCCCCCUGUAUCAUCGCUCCGCCCCUCUUGCUGGGCCUGGACUCACUGACCUGUUCCUCUCUUGUAUCACAGACCCUAGGCACCCCUAGGGCAGACUGAAAAAAAAUCUGCUCUUUACUGCCUCUACUCAUAAUCUAACCGGUUUCACUCAAGGAGUCAUGUGAAUGCUGCCUCUUCCAGGAAGUCUUCUGUGAUUGCCCCAGCUGAAAUGACUCUCAUAGCACUUCACUGGACCUCUUAAGACGCUCAUCAUUUUCUUUAUAUCAAAUUCUUUUUUUCUUUUUUGGCUGCCGCAUGGCAUAUGGAGUUCCCAGGCCAGGGAUCAAAUCCCAGCCGGAGUUACGACCUAUGCCAUAGCUGUGGCAGUGCCGGAUCCUUUAACCCAGGGCCAGGCCAGGGAUCAAACCUGCAUCCUGAUGCUGCAGAGACAC
Molecule: long non-coding RNA, 3972 nt
Filed under: Sus scrofa (pig)
Lineage: Eukaryota; Metazoa; Chordata; Mammalia; Artiodactyla; Suidae
Description: lncRNA (ENSSSCG00005010748.1)
Source: RNAcentral